UACGAAGGGGGCUAGCGUUGUUCGGAAUUACUGGGCGUAAAGCGCACGUAGGCGGAUUGUUAAGUCAGAGGUGAAAUCCCGGAGCUCAACUUCGGAACUGCCUUUGAUACUGGCAAUCUAGAGUCCGGAAGAGGUUAGUGGAAUUCCCAGUGUAGAGGUGAAAUUCGUAGAUAUCGGGAGGAACACCAGUGGCGAAGGCGGCUACCUGGCACAUAACUGACGCUGAUACGCGAAAGCGUGGGGAGCGAACCGG
RNAcentral lists this ribosomal RNA (253 nucleotides) under uncultured bacterium. Its description in RNAcentral is "partial 16S ribosomal RNA". It matches the Rfam family "Bacterial small subunit ribosomal RNA", at positions 524 to 776 of the family's 1533-position model. The record is from RNAcentral.